UGCCGCGUGGGUGAAGAAGGUCUUCGGAUUGUAAAGCCCUUUCGGCGGGGACGAUGAUGACGGUACCCGCAGAAGAAGCCCCGGCUAACUUCGUGCCAGCAGCCGCGGUAAUACGAAGGGGGCUAGCGUUGCUCGGAAUGACUGGGCGUAAAGGGCGCGUAGGCGGUUUACAUAGUCAGGCGUGAAAUUCCCGGGCUCAACCUGGGGACUGCGCUUGAUACGUGUAGACUUGAGUGAGGAAGAGGGUCGUGGAAUUCCCAGUGUAGAGGUGAAAUUCGUAGAUAUUGGGAAGAACACCGGUGGCGAAGGCGGCGACCUGGUCCUUUACUGACGCUGAGGCGCGAAAGCGUGGGGAGCAAACAGGAUUAGAUACCCUGGUAGUCCACGCCGUAAACGAUGUGCGCUGGAUGUUGGGCGGCUAGCCGCUCAGUGUCGUAGCUAACGCGAUAAGCGCACCGCCUGGGGUGUACGGCCCGCAAGGUUGAAACUCAAAGGAAUUGACGGGGGCCCGCACAAGCGGUGGAGCAUGUGGUUUUAUUCGUAGCAACGCGCAGUACCUUACCAGGACUUGACAUGGGAGG
Molecule: ribosomal RNA, 581 nt
Filed under: uncultured bacterium
Lineage: Bacteria
Description: bacterial SSU rRNA
Rfam family: Bacterial small subunit ribosomal RNA
Source: RNAcentral